GGGCCGUUAGCACAGUGGUAAUGCAUCGCUCUCGCACAGCGGAGACGGGAGUUCGAUUCUCCCACGGUCCACCC
This 74-nucleotide transfer RNA is filed under the name Candidatus Daviesbacteria bacterium RIFCSPHIGHO2_02_FULL_39_41. RNAcentral describes it as "tRNA-Ala". It matches the Rfam family "tRNA". Rfam says of the family: Transfer RNA (tRNA) molecules are approximately 80 nucleotides in length. Their secondary structure includes four short double-helical elements and three loops (D, anti-codon, and T loops). RNAcentral also lists the same sequence under 1 other name. The record is from RNAcentral. Lineage: Bacteria; Candidatus Daviesiibacteriota.